CGCGUAGGCGGGUGUUUAAGUCAGAGGUCAAAUCCCAGGGCUCAACCCUGGAACUGCCUUUGAUACUGGGCACCUAGAGUUCGGGAGAGGUGUGUGGAACUCCGAGUGUAGAGGUGAAAUUCGUAGAUAUUCGGAAGAACACCAGUGGCGAAGGCGACACACUGGCCCGAUACUGACGCUGAGGCGCGAAAGCGUGGGGAGCAAAC
This 206-nucleotide ribosomal RNA is filed under the name uncultured bacterium. RNAcentral describes it as "partial 16S ribosomal RNA". It matches the Rfam family "Bacterial small subunit ribosomal RNA", at positions 568 to 773 of the family's 1533-position model. The record is from RNAcentral.